GAUAGAACGCUAGCUACAGGCUUAACACAUGCAAGUCGAGGGGAAACGAUAGAGAAAGCUUGCUUUUUCUAGGCGUCGACCGGCGCACGGGUGAGUAACGCGUAUCCAACCUGCCCACCACUUGGGAUAACCUUGCGAAAGUAAGACUAAUACCCAAUGACGUCUCUAGAAGACAUCUGAAAGGGAUUAAAGAUUUAUCGGUGAUGGAUGGGGAUGCGUCUGAUUAGCUUGUUGGCGGGGUAACGGCCCACCAAGGCUACGAUCAGUAGGGGUUCUGAGAGGAAGGUCCCCCACAUUGGAACUGAGACACGGUCCAAACUCCUACGGGAGGCAGCAGUGAGGAAUAUUGGUCAAUGGGCGAGAGCCUGAACCAGCCAAGUAGCGUGCAGGAUGACGGCCCUAUGGGUUGUAAACUGCUUUUAUAAGGGAAUAAAGUGAGCCUCGUGAGGCUUUUUGCAUGUACCUUAUGAAUAAGGACCGGCUAAUUCCGUG
This 492-nucleotide ribosomal RNA is filed under the name uncultured bacterium. Its description in RNAcentral is "bacterial SSU rRNA". It matches the Rfam family "Bacterial small subunit ribosomal RNA", at positions 31 to 507 of the family's 1533-position model. The record is from RNAcentral.